Molecule: long non-coding RNA, 1261 nt
Filed under: Hordeum vulgare
Lineage: Eukaryota; Viridiplantae; Streptophyta; Magnoliopsida; Poales; Poaceae
Description: long non-coding RNA (HVUL_LNC007620)
Source: RNAcentral
GAUGAUCUACUUCUUAGAUGGUAAAAUGAGAAUCGUGUUUCAACCAGAAAAACAAAAGUUGCGUGAAAUACAUAAAUUGAACGGAUGAGAUUUUGCCUGAUAUGACAACAAUUAUCCCUUUUUUCCCAUGUCAUGCUCUGAAUUACCGAUGAUCUACUUUUCAGAUGGUAAAAUGACAACCAUGUUUCAACCAGGAAAACAGGAGUUGUGUGAAAUACAUACAUAAAUUGAAUGGAUGAGAUUCUGCCUGAUAUGACAACGAUUGUCUUGGAAUCACUUUUACGUGGACAGCUAACAACUAUGGUGAGACGAGUGUGGAUCACAAGCAAAGUUUGAUUCAAAAAACAAAAACAGAAAAACAUUGAACAUCGGUGUUAAUAUUUUUUGAGAAGGUAUUUCUGUAUUCUUGUAGUAUACUUCCUCUGUCCAAUAAUAAUAUAUUGUUGAAAAUAUUUUAUAUUAUGGGACGGAGCGACAUCAAAGAAAUGAGCGUUUGGAUGCAAAAAAGGAAGUUCCGAAGUACAAAUUGGCUACACAGAAGCGCUGCCAACACGUCCGUACGGCUGUGAAUACCUGGUUUAUGAGCCGUUCAUUUACUGGAUCGGACAGCUGCUACUCAUUCGUCUGUGUAUACUUUUCUAGGGUUAAGCAGCACUCCACAAGAUGAGCAUAUACGUGCACAAGCACAUUCAUGUAGGUGGUGCCAUAGAAAAUUACUACGAUAUUCUAGCACCAGGUUGCUUCUAGUAUUUUGUAGCCCGCCAAUAGUGGUGAAUUAUUUCUUGCUCUCGCAAGCUGCGGCAGAUCUAGUCCCUCCAGGCUCUAUUUUGUAGCCCAUAUAGACCAGCCCAUGGGCUCUUCUCCCUUCUGCUUGUUCGGUUUUGUGUUGAGGAAUCUCAGUUCCUUUGCUAUGACUAGCACUUUAAGUUAGUUUUUUUGUAGUGGCGCUUAGAUGAAAGUCAGUGUCUCACAUUCGAGCUGAUCUUUUGGGCUUUGAUCUUUCUUGAGUUUGUCCAUGCAUGAAUUGGGCAGAGCUUCAAUGUAGAUUAUUGUCAUCGCAAGAGGCGACAAAUACAAGCAUUGGAGUGAGCACGUCACCUUGUCAUCGCCCUCCCUUACAGAGCUGAGCAAACCUUGUUUUAUUAGAGAUCUGCUUGUUCUAAGGCCCAAUGAACCAGUGCACCAGAAUAACAACUGGCAUCGAUGAAGAAAAAUGUAGAUCGGAAUGAUCAAAUAUGUAGACACAUAACCGAAGGUGAAC